Non-coding RNA from Danionella cerebrum, 72 nucleotides. NCBI's taxonomy places the organism in Eukaryota, Metazoa, Chordata, Actinopteri, Cypriniformes, Danionidae. The record is from the annotation of a GenBank genome assembly.
GGCUCGGUGGUCUAGGGGUAAAAUGCUCACUUUGGGUGCGAGUGAUCCCGGGUUCAAAACCCGGAUGGGCCC